Molecule: microRNA precursor, 71 nt
Organism: Dipodomys ordii (Ord's kangaroo rat)
Lineage: Eukaryota; Metazoa; Chordata; Mammalia; Rodentia; Heteromyidae
Gene: Mir503
Product: microRNA 503
Source: Ensembl
UGCUCUAGCAGCGGGAACAGUACUGCGGUCAGCUAUCCACACUCUGCAGUAAUGUUGCCGCUGCCAGGGUA